GAGGUGGAGCUCAGUGGUGGAGUGCUUGCCUGGCCUGCAUGAGGCCCUGGGUUCAAACCUCAGCACCACA
RNAcentral lists this transfer RNA (70 nucleotides) under Marmota monax (woodchuck). RNAcentral describes it as "tRNA.Ala". It matches the Rfam family "tRNA". Rfam says of the family: Transfer RNA (tRNA) molecules are approximately 80 nucleotides in length. Their secondary structure includes four short double-helical elements and three loops (D, anti-codon, and T loops). The record is from RNAcentral. Lineage: Eukaryota; Metazoa; Chordata; Mammalia; Rodentia; Sciuridae.